This 816-nucleotide ribosomal RNA is filed under the name uncultured bacterium. RNAcentral describes it as "bacterial SSU rRNA". It matches the Rfam family "Bacterial small subunit ribosomal RNA", at positions 579 to 1398 of the family's 1533-position model. The record is from RNAcentral.
UUUGUCGCGUUCUGCCGUGAAAGUCCGGGCUCAACUCCGAUCUGCGUGAGUACGGCAGACUAGAGUGAUGCAGGGAGACUGAUUCCUGGUGUAGCGUGAAAUGCGCAGAUAUCAGGAGGAACACCGAUGGCGAAGGCAGGUCUCUGGGCAUUAACUGACGCUGAGGAGCGAAAGCAUGGGGAGCGAACAGGAUUAGAUACCCUGGUAGUCCAUGCCGUAAACGUUGGGCACUAGGCGUGGGGGACAUUUCCACGUUUUCCGCGCCGUAGCUAACGCAUUAAGUGCCCCGCCUGGGGAGUACGGCCGCAAGGCUAAAACUCAAAGGAAUUGACGGGGGCCCGCACAAGCGGCGGAGCAUGCGGAUUAAUUCGAUGCAACGCGAAGAACCUUACCAAGGCUUGACAUGAACCGGAAACACCUGGAAACAGGUGCCCCGCUUGCGGUCGGUUUACAGGUGGUGCAUGGUUGUCGUCAGCUCGUGUCGUGAGAUGUUGGGUUAAGUCCCGCAACGAGCGCAACCCUCGUUCUAUGUUGCCAGCGCGUUAUGGCGGGGACUCAUAGGAGACUGCCGGGGUCAACUCGGAGGAAGGUGGGGACGACGUCAAAUCAUCAUGCCCCUUAUGUCUUGGGCUUCACGCAUGCUACAAUGGCCGGUACAAAGGGUUGCGAUACUGUGAGGUGGAGCUAAUCCCAAAAAGCCGGUCUCAGUUCGGAUUGGGGUCUGCAACUCGACCCCAUGAAGUCGGAGUCGCUAGUAAUCGCAGAUCAGCAACGCUGCGGUGAAUACGUUCCCGGGCCUUGCACACACCGCCCGUC